RNA transcript from Anolis carolinensis (green anole), 22305 nucleotides. It is a transcript of the gene named Ral GTPase activating protein catalytic subunit alpha 2, with no coding region annotated. Lineage: Eukaryota; Metazoa; Chordata; Lepidosauria; Squamata; Anolidae. The transcript has 39 exons. The record is from RefSeq and is a predicted model, not a curated record.
UUUCCCUUUGCAGCACCUUGGGCAUGGUAGUUCCGAGAUCAUUCCAGACUCAGGUAGAGCGAGAGAGGCCUCCUGCCGUGGGGGACGGGACCCUGCAGCGGCGACGAGGAGGGAAGCUGAGAGACCGAGAGAACAAAGAGUGCUUCUUCCUUCCGCCUCAGCGCCCUGGCCUCUAGAGGGCGCUGCCUCGCGCAGCCCGCCCUUUUCCCUCACAGAAGCCGAGCCUCGCUGGAGCCUGGCUCAGGUGCAGGAGGACGAGGAGGAGGGCGACGGCGGCGGAGAAGGAGCCCCUCAGGAUGUUCUCGCGGAGGGGCCACGCCGAUGUCAAGAAGUCCGCCCAGAAGGCGCUGGACCCGCGGAAGGAUGUCCUCACUCGCCUCAAGCACCUCAGGGCGCUCAUGGAUGCUGUGGAUGGAAGUGAACUUAAACAUUUUUUUGAGAUUAACUAUUCUCAGAUUUAUUUUAUCUUCUAUGAAAAUUUCAUAACACUGGAAAGUAACUUGAAACAAAAAGGGAAUAAAUCUCAAAGGGAGGAGCUGGACUCCAUUCUCUUUCUUUUUGAAAGAAUAUUACAACUGCUACCAGAAAGGAUUUUCUAUCGGUGGCAUUUCCACAGCAUAGGAUCCGUGUUAAAGAAACUUUUGCACACUGGAAACUCUCUUAAGAUAAGAUGUGAAGGAAUCCGGUUAUUUCUUCUAUGGCUGCAAGCGCUCCAGACCAAUUGCUCUGAGGAGCAGCUGCUAAUUUUUGCUUGCCUUGUGCCUGGUUUUCCUGCAGUGAUGUCUUCAAAAGGUCCAUGUACACUGGAUACUAUCAUUAGCUCUCCUUCCAGUCUUCCAGAUGCAAAGAUUUUUCCAGAGGAAAUAACACCACUUUUACCACAUGCCUCUGGUGAAAAGAGUACUGACGACCCAACUUGCUCCUUCCUUCAAAUACUGUUAAAAUAUAUGGUCAUCCAAGCUGCAAGCUUGGAAUGGAAGAAUAAAGAGAAUCAUGAUACUGGGUUUAAGUUCCUUUUUGCCUUGUUCAGAAAAUAUUAUCUUCCUCAUUUAUUUCCCAGUUUUACAAAACUAACAAAUCUCUACAAACCUGUGCUUGACAUCCCUGGUCUGCGACCUAAGCCAUCAUAUGUUAGUGCAACUUGUAAUAAUGAAAACGUUUAUAGCACAAAAAUACCAUACAUGACUGCUCGUGUUGUUUUUAUUAAAUGGAUUGUAAACUUUUUUCUGGAAAAAAAGUAUUUUAUACCAACACAGAAUUCUAAAAAUGGAGGGGAUGUUUUGCCCAGAAUCAUUCAAACUGUGGGUGGUGCAGUGCAAGAUAAAAAUCCUGAGCCAGAGAACAGUGUUCCACCAGAUCAAGAGAAAAGCCAUUCAAACAACAACACUCUCUCUGAACGGAGGCUCAGUGAUUCUAGCUUUUGCAGCAUUGAGGAGCAACAUCGGGCAGUGUAUGAGAUGGUGCAGCAGAUCUUUCUGUCCACACGAGGUUAUGUAAAUUUUGUCAAUGAAGUAUUUCGACAGGCUUUUUUACUGCCUUCAUCAGAGAUAUCUUCAUCUGAAAAGGUAGUGAAAGUAUACAGGAAGUGGAUACUGCAAGAGAAGCCGGCAUUCAUGGAAGAACCGGAUAUGAAGGAAGUUGUUCAAGAUGAUGAUGGCAUCACAGAUAAUUCAACAACCGAGUCAGACGGCAAACAUCUUUCAUCUGGCCACUCAGGACAUAAACGAUCCUCCAGUUGGGGUAGGACGUACUCCUUCUCUAGUGCUGUUAACAGAGGAUGUAUAUUAGAAGAUGAAAACAAGAACAUUAAAGCAGGUCUUCAAGCUGCCCUACAGGUAUUCUUAACAAACGCUGCUAAUGUAUUUUUAUUGGAACCAUGUACUGAGAUACCGGAACUUCUGAAGGAGCAAAUCGGGGCAUGCAGAGCAGUUUUGAGUAUAUUCAGGCGCAUGAUUAUGGAACUUCCAAUGAAUCAAAAAACAUGGGAACAAAUGUUGCAAAUUCUUCUCAGGAUAACAGAAGCUGUUAUGAGCAAAUCAAAAGAUAACCAAAUGCAAGACACAUUUGCUCAAAGUUUAGCAAGUGUACUAUUCCGGACUCUCAUUGUGGCCUGGAUCCGAGCUAAUCUAAGUGUCUAUAUUUCUCGAGAACUCUGGGAUGAACUCCUGCGGGUGCUGUCCUCUCUUACGGAUUGGAGAGAGCUAAUCGCAGAGUGGGCUAACAUCAUGGACUCCCUGACAUCUGUCUUGGCCAGAACUGUGUAUGGUGUUGACAUGACCAAUUUGCCUUUGGAUAAGCUAAGUGAACAAAAGGAGAAAAUACAAAGAGGAAAAUGUGGCAUUUUGGAACCUCAAAAGGGAGCUUCAGUUGGAAGAUCGUUUUCUUUAAGCUGGAGAAAUCAUCCUGAAGUUGUGGAACCAAUGAGGUUUAGGAGUGCUACUACUUCGGGAGUACCAGGAGUUGAGAAAGCAAGGAAUAUAGUGCGUCAGAGAGCAACAGCUAAGCGAAGCCAAUCUAUCAGCAACUGUGCUCAUCUCUGUGAGGCUUUGCCAGCCACUAAAAGUGUACCUCUUCUCCUUCACACUGUGAGCUCUCUCUUACCUGGUAUCUCUUACACUUCUUACUCUCACACGCUUUCAGAAGCUGAAGAAUAUCAGCAGUCAGAAAACGGAGCAGGAACAGAAUACAGCCAAUCUGGAACUGUAUCAAGAACAGAAAGUAAUAGUCUGUUUUCAGACCAGGAACAAUUAACACGAAGUAGCAGUACCUCCGAUAUUAGAGACCAAUGCAAUUCUCUUUUUCAUGUUAGAAAAACGGAAAGUUCACAGAACUUAAAUUCAGAUUCCAACUCUGCUGAAGAAACUAAGGGGGUCAUGAACAAAGAAAAUACGGAGGAAGAGACAAACCACAUUCCAGCUGAAUCAUAUCUGAAAGUAGACAUGCAGCAAUCGCCUGGAAGUCAGAGAGAAAGAGAGAAAAGUGAAAGUGUCAGUAGUGAUACCUCCCUAGGAUACAGUAAUGAAGUAGACAUUACUAUGGCUCCCUGGCAAUCGUGCGAAGAAAACCAUGAUGUCAACAUUCCAUCUGAGAUUUCGGGGGAUCCAGAUGCAUGCCACUGGUUGCACUUGAAUCCUUCAGAUGCCACCAAUUUAACAGACAGCAGUGAGUUCCUUGCUGAUGACUGCAGUAUAAUUGCUGGUGGAAAUCUCAUAGGCUGGCAUCCAGACUCUGCUUCCGUAUUAUGGCGAAGAAUAUUGGGGAUUCUUGGAGAUGUAAAUAAUAUCAAGUCUCCUAAAAUACAUGCCAUGGUUUUUGAGUUUCUCUAUGAACUGUGGUACAAAUUAGCAAAGAUCAGAGAUAAUCUUGCUAUCAGCCUAGAUAACCAGUCUACUCCUGCGCCACCUAUUUUAAUUCCACCACUCAGGAUAUUUGCAUCUUGGUUAUUCAAGGCUGCAACCUUGCCAGAUGACUACAAAGAAGGGAAACUCCAUUCAUACAAACUGAUAUGUGCUAUGAUGACUAGGCGCCAAGAUUUUGUGCCAAAUCCUGACUUCUUAGUGCAUUUUUAUCUUGUCAUGCACAUUGGCUUAAACAGUAAAGAUCAGGAUAUUUUGAAUACGAUCAUAAGGCACUGCUCUCCCUGCUUUUUCUUCUUGAGCUUGCCUGGCUUCACAUUGUUAAUCGGAGACUUCGUAAGAGCUGCAGCCACCGUCCUGAGUACAAACAUGUUGGAGGCACCCCGCUUAGAAGCACAUACCAUUCUUGGUUCUUUGAUUUGCUUUCCUAAUCUUUACCAAGAAAUUUCAUUGUUACAACCCAUUCUGGGAGCAGAAGUGAUUCCAGAAACAGUGGAUGUCAAAUGUUUCCUCAUAAGUACCCUUCUGAAGAAUGCCAUAGAUGAACCUAGUGAAGCUUCAAGGUGCUUAGCUGUGUGCUGUCUUGGACUUUGGAUAUGUGAAGAACUGGUGCAAUGUACAAACCAUCCCCAAGUAAAGGAUGCAAUAAAUGUUUUAGGUGUGACACUAAAGUUUUCUAACAAGCAGAUUGCACAGGAAGCAUGUGAUGUCUUUCAAUUGCUUGCAUCUUAUUGGGAAAAACUACAGUUGUACAAAUCUUGUCUACCCAUAAAAAUUAUUGAAAUCCUUGUUGCCACCAUUACAUUUCUCUUGCCAAGUGCAGAGUACUCCUCUGUGGAAAGUGAUAAAAAGUUUAUAGUUUCGUUAUUGCUUUGCUUGCUGGAUUGGUGCAUGGCAUUACCAGUGAAAAUGCUGCUGGAACCUGUUCUUAUUUCAAUGCUGGAAGAUCAACAUUCUUCUAAAGCCCCUUUGCUUGAUUACAUUUAUAGGGUCCUACACAGUUGCGUCCAUGGUUCAAACACUUACACGCAGCAAAGCCAUUACCUUUUAAGCCUUGCAGACCUCUCUAGCGAUGUCUACGAUCCAUUUUUGCCAUUAGCAAGUGUCAGGAAUUCUGAACCUAUCCAGUUUCAGUCUUCAGAAGAUCUCAAUAAUUUACUCACCGUUGCUGAAGAAAGGAGGAGGAGGAGCUUGGAGUUAAUACCUUUGACUGCACGGAUGAUUAUGGCACACCUAGUAAACCAUUUGGGCCACUAUCCCUUGAAUGGAGGGCCUGCCGUUCUUCACAGCCUUAUUAGUGAAAACCACAACAACUCGUAUGUGGAAUCCUCUGAACUGUCUUCUGAAGUCUUCAGGAGCCCAAACCUACAGCUUUUUGUAUUUAAUGAUAGUACUCUCAUAUCUUAUCUUCAAAUUCCUUCAGAAAGAAGGGACGAUGAUGAACCACCAGGAACUCUAUCUGAAGUUAGAGUAAUUGUAAGAGAUAUCUCAGGGAAAUACUCAUGGGAUGGAAAACUGAUGCAUGGACCACUAGCUGGUUGUCCACCAAAUCCAAAUAAAAGGAAAUCUACUGCAUUUUUUAACAAUCAUAAACAGAACUUUGAGUCUCAAGUUGAUUUUAUUGAAAUAUAUGAAGGAGAUGAUGAUGUUCUUGAUAAAUUGCUUGAGAGGAUUGGCAAUAGUAGUCCUGAGUGCCUUCUUCGUCCACAAGUAAAAUUAAAUGAGCCAUCAGCAUCACCAUGUGUCAUGAGCAGUGAACAAGAGAAUGAUAUUCUAGAAGCAAUAAUAAAACAGAAUGGCACAGAAAAUGAAUAUGCACAUGGAUGCAGUUUGAAUCCUAGCAUGAAGGCUGAAUUUCAGAAAGCACCAAAACCUGUUCAGCUCCAAGCACCAUUUCACUUAUGUAAGCUUUUGCUAAAUGACUUAGGGAUGAAUUCUUGGGAUAAAAGGAAAAGUUUUCAUCUACUGAAAAAAAAUUCUAAAUUGUUGAGAGAACUGAAAAAUUUGGAUUCCAGACAAUGCCGUGAAACCCAUAAGAUUGCUGUAUUUUACAUUGCUGAAGGACAAGAAGAUAAAUGUUCAAUAUUGUCCAAUCCGAAAGGAAGUCAAGCAUAUGAAGAUUUUGUUGCUGGAUUAGGCUGGGAGGUUGAUCUUUCAACUCACUGUGGAUUUAUGGGUGGCCUCCAACGUAAUGGCAGCACAGGACAAACAGCACCAUAUUAUGCCACUUCUACUGUGGAAGUGAUUUUUCAUGUUUCUACUCGCAUGCCCUCUGAUUCAGAUGAUUCACUGACCAAAAAGCUUCGUCAUUUGGGAAAUGAUGAAAUUCAUGUUGUCUGGUCUGAACACACCAGGAAUUAUCGCAGAGGCAUUAUACCAACAGAUUUUGGAGAUGUUUUAAUUAUUAUUUAUCCAAUGAAGAAUCAUAUGUUUUUUAUAGAAAUCAUGAAGAAACCAGAGGUACCCUUUUUUGGUCCGUUGUUUGAUGGCGCAAUCGUGACUGCAAAACUGCUGCCAAAUCUUAUACGAGCCACAUGCAUCAAUGCCAGCAGAGCAGUGAAGUCCCUUAUAACUCUCUAUCAAAGCUUGUAUCCUUUUCCAAUAGUAAUUUGAUUUGUUUCUAGGAUGGCUGUUCUCCUUUGAGGUAUGUUUUCAAAAGUAGUAUUUGACAUUGUAAACGAUUCUUUAGUCUAAAAAUGCAAUUUUUCUUUUUAAAAAUAGCAUAUUUAGAUUCCUUCCUACUUAGUUUAAACUGAUUGAUUUGAUGCAUAAAGGAUGAACAAUGCUAGACCACAAAGAUGCAUUCAGGAUUACAAGAUACUCCUUUAAACUAGAAGGUGAGUAUGCAUAGUGAUACUUACGUACGUACUUACAUUGUCCGAGUAUGAUGGUCCUCUAUGUGUAGUGGUUAUUAUAGAGAAAGAGAGCUUUUGAGAUUCUCGGAAUGUUGGUGUAGGGUUCACAUAACUUAAUUACAUUAUUACUAUAUACUGUGUAUUUUAUGUGCUGCAUUGGAGUGCUUUGUAAGCCGCCCGAGUCGUUUCGGGAAGAUGGUGGCGGGUAUAAAUAAAGUUUUUAUUGUUGUUGUUGUUGUUGUUGUUGUUAUGAAUAAUAUAAUUUAUACAUUAGUUGAUUUUAUAUUGAGAAGGCAAGCUAUCAGAGUUCCAUGAAACUGUUUUCUCCACCCUUCACUGUGACAGCCCUUUCUGUUGCUUGAAAAACUAUUCUAGGGGCCUUUCCAGACCUCCAGAGCAAGUUUUUUGCGAAGAGGAGAAUAAGCCUUUCCAGCUCCACUGAAAAAGGCCAUUAUUGGAUCUUUGUCUAUAUGUUUAAUGUAGAUAGAGUUGGUCAAUAAAAAGCCAAUGGACUUAAAACAUGAUAAAGAGUUCUUAUUCCCCCUAUAAUUAUUUGAAUCCUAUGGGCCAUAAAAGGCCUGAAAGAAGGUGGUACAGCUUACUAUCUGUUGCACAACUUACUAGCCAUGCAUUGUGGUCUCAAGAGUGACUCAUAACUCACUUUUCAGCUGAGGACAAUAUCUGUAGAUUUUGUUUUUUUUGCAUAAUUUGAAACAUUUUAUAUUUUUCUUCGUGUACUCUGUGAAUGCACACUAAUGGAGAGACUGUGCCUGCGCGGGAUCCAACGAAAAUUCUUCCAAGCUAAAGUUUGAAAUUUGGCGGUAACCCCGCCCCUCUCCCCAGAGGGCAUAAAAGGCCACCCUGAGCGCUCACUCCCCAGUUCCUUUUUUUCCGCCGCAAAGCUCACAUCGGACUCUUCGUUCCUUCUUAUGUCGACUACGCACUUUAAGCGGUGCACUCAAUGAGCCACUAAGAUUCUGGAUUCCGACGGCCACGCCAAGUGUCUCCUCUGCCUGGGCGAGAGCCACGUCGUCGGUACCUGCCGGAUCUGCCUGGCCUUUACGGCCCAAGCAAGGAGAAACAGGGCUGCUAGACUUCGAGCAGCCCUCUAUGAAAGAUCACUUGCUCCUGAGUCGGCUACCUCCGCAUCGACCUCGAUGGCAGCAAGACCUACAAAACCCACAUCGGUCUCCUCUAAAACUUCAAAAAGCUCAAAGGGAAGACCCUCGAAACCGCCUUGCACGGUUACUGUGGCCACUCGAUGGCAGCAAGACCUACAAAACCCACAUCGGUCUCCUCUAAAACUUCAAAAAGCUCGAAGGGAAGACCCUCGAAACCGCCUUGCACGGUUACUGUGGCCACUGUGUCGACCCGGUCCAGAAAGGUGGGCCCGUUGUCGAACUCAAGCUCCCUGGCCUCGGUAGUCUCCCCAUAUCGCUUCACCGCUGUCGUCUUCUGCAAUGAAGAUUGCCUUCAAAAGGGCUCAGGAAGAAUCCCAUCGAGCCCAGUCCGACUCGGCAGCAAUCUGCCCUAUUCUACCAACCCCAGAGUUCCGUCCAAACAUCCAUCGGCAAAUAGACGCAUGACCCAACGUUCAUCCUCCUCCGCUUCUUCAAAGAAAGAUGUUCCCUCUUCAUCGGCCUCCUCCUCGAGGAGAUCCUCUCCGAUCCAACCGGUACAGCACCCACGAUCUCCUUCCCGGUCCCCACCUAUCCGUUCUUCUGAUGGGGUGCACUGAAGUUUCACCCGAUCGCUCGACCCGCACAGUGAUGAGGGUCCCUCAGCCUGUACCUUCACGUCAACAGGCUCAACAAAAACUUUUUCCUCCUCCUCAGACCCUCCGAAAGGGGAAGACAGACGACUCACCUUGCUCGAGCUGUUCAGGCCUCCGCCUCUAAGGACCAUCAGCCACAGACUUCUGCUGCUCUUGAGGCGAUACCUCCUCCAGAGACUGUGCUUUCCUCUCCCCCUCAAGGAGCCGAGGAGGAUGAGCUCGACGUCGAGCACCCGGAAUCGAUUCAGUCGGCAUCGGUUGUCUCCUUGGGACUCAACCUGUCCCCACCCCAUGAUGCUUACGAAGUCGAUCUGCCAUCUCCCACAGGCAACAUUUGGGCUUUCUCCGACCAAAUGGCCAGAAUGGCGGACGCCCUGGGGAUGGAGAUUAAACAAACUUCGAAAGCCGUCACCGACCCCUUAUUCAAGAGGGUCCAGGCUCAAGCUCCCCAGCCACACUCCUACCUUUCCUUCCUUAUCUACUGGACGUCAUCCAGGCCUCCUGGAAGACCCCGUCUUUGAUACCUCCAACCUCUAAAAAGAUCGAGGCAUAGUAUCGUACGGACGAUGAAGCCCUAGAGUGGCUCAAGCAUCACCCCGACCCAAACCCGAUGGUGGUUAAAGCCUCCCAAUCUUCGGGCUGACAGUCUAAGUCUCCGGCCGACAGAGAAGGAAAGAGAUUUGACGCAGUGGGCUGAAAAUUAUAUUCCAGCGCGCUUCUUUUGUGUCGAAUGGCAAAUUACGGGGCCUGCAUGGGGACAUAUCAACAGAUUCUCUGGGAAAAGGCCCAGCCCUUUUUCACCAAACUCUCUAAUGAAGACUGUUCCGUCCUCUCGACCCUCCAGCAGGAGGCGGACUCCCUAGCUCACCAUCAGAUUCAGAUGGCAAAGCAUACAGGCGAUACUGCUGGCAAAAUGAUCACUCAUGCUGUGGCAAUCAGACGACACGCUUGGCUGCGAUCCUCUGGCCUCUCCUCGUCUUCUCGACAAGUAAUUGAAGACCUGCCUUUUGAUGCCCUCGGCCUAUUUAUCACGGGGACUGAUGAUAAAUUGAAAUCAAAUCAUGAUUUCAGAAUCCUCGCAUCUAAGUGCGGGACCGACCAGCCUCACGCCCAACGAACCCAUUGGUUUCCCCAGAGGUACUGUCGCUUCCCUCCUCAGCCUUUCUGCCACCAAACCUUCAGGCGCUCCUCCAGCUCCAGCCAACAAGGCCAGCAACAACAGCCCCGCCGUCAACACCAGGCCUCUAAGGCUAGAGGUCGAGGUACCGCCACUACUCCCCGUACCCAGCGUUGAGCCUGACACCCAGUCUCUCAGUACCGCCUCCACAUUCAAUACUGCUGCCGCCGCCAUGCCUCUUGCGAACCUCGGUCCAAAACUUCCCCCCUGCCACUUCCGGGACCAGCUCCCUUCUACCACGAAUGGGCGUCUAUCACCUCGGAUGCCUGGGUUCUCUGCAUUGUCUGAGAUGGUUACACCUUGGAGUUUGAAAGCCUUCCUCCCACAGGCCACGUCCUCUCCACCGACCCAUCGCCGGAAAUCUGCACCGAGGUCGACUCCGUCCUAGCCAAGGGUGCCAUCCAACCGUCUCCGUCUGAGCAGGACAUUCGAGGUUUUUUCUCAAGAUACUUCACUGUUCCCAAAAAGGGUGGAGGGCUUCGCCCCAUCCUGGACUUACGAGCUCUAAACCUUUUCAUUCUCCCCUCAAAGUUCUGUAUGGUCUCUGUCGCCUCCAUCCUUCCGAUGCUCCAACGAGAUUAUUUCGACUCUAUAGACUUAAGGGACGCCUAUUUCCACGUAGCGAUACGUUGCUCCCACAGACGCUUCCUCUCUUUCAAAAUUCUCGGUCAAUCUUACCAGUUUGCAGUCCUCCCUUUCGGCCUUGUCACCGCCCCUCGAGUCUUCACCAAGGUGGUCGCAGUACUGGCAGCUCACCUGAGGAAACAAGGCAUUAUGGUCUUUCCUUACCUGGACGAUUGGAUGAUUGUCGCUCCCGAUCCAUCAUCCUUACAGAACCAUGUUUCCCGCACUUUGUCCCUGCUCCGCUUGCUCGGACUUCAGCUGAACACCAAGAAGUCACAUCUAACCCCCUCCAACAAGAUAUGCUUCAUCGGGGCUCUCUUCAACUCUCUCACACAAACAGCCUUCCUACCGCCAGACAGAUUCCUGGCCCUCCAACAACACCUGCUACUUCUCCUGCACAACCGCAGGGUCCGAGCCCGCUCCGUUCAAGUCCUCCUAGGCCACAUGGCCUCCACUGUCAUGGUCACUCCUUUCGCUGGGCUUCGUCUCAGACCUCUCCAGAGAUGGUUUAUAGACUCUUUCAACCCCUUCUGCAUCCCAGCCCCAUGUUUCUCACGGCACUGAACCGGGUCCGUCUUUCUCUUCAAUGGUGGCAGAACCUGACUAACGUCUGCAGGGGCCUGCCUUUGCACCCUCCACUCCCGUCGAUCACAAUCACGACCGACAUGUCUAACUUGGCAUUGGGGAGCCCACAUGGCCGAUCUCACAGUCCGGGAUCUCUGGUCCCCUCAAGAGAGGUCUCAGCACAUAAAUCUUCUGGAACUGUUGGCAAUCUUCAAAGCACUCCGAGCCUUUGCCCGCCUUCUUCCCCACAAGACAGUGCAAAUCCAGACAGACAAUACCGUGGCUAUGUAUUACAUUAACAAACAGGGAUGUACAGGCUCAAGGAAACUGAUGUCCCUCUCGUCAGAAAUCUGGCUAUGGUACAAAGCAAGAGACAUAUCCCUGUCAGCAGUCCACCUGCCAGGCCCCAGAACACCCUGGCGGACUCCCUCAGCAGGAUCGCAACCUCCCCCCACGAGUGAUGUCUCGAUCCCAAAAUCCUGCAUUCUGUCUUCAACGAGUGGGGGUGGCCAACUCUAGAUCUUUUUGCCUCCCCCUCCAACACACACCUUCCCCACUUCGGGGCAAGACUCUCUCCAAAUGCGGCUCCGGGCUGUCUCGGAGACGCUUUUCUCCUGGACUGGUCAGCCGAACCCAUCUAUCUCUUUCCUCCUUUCCCUCUGAUCCCGAGGGUACUAGAGAGACUUCUUCUGAUUCCAGCGUCAGCUAUCCUAAUAGCUCCUGCUUGGCCCCGCCAACCAUGGUACCCAACUCUCCUGCAGAUGUGCGCAGGAACCUUCUGUACCCUCCCAACGGUCCCUCAUCUCCUGACCUCAAAGGAAGGACAGGUUCUCCACCCCGACAUUCCGUCCCUACACUUGACGGCGUGGAGGAUCCUUCCCUGAGCUCCUUCCACCCAGACCUCCAAACAAUCCUCCGGGCGGCCCAUAAGCCAUCCACGUCAAAGGCUUACGCAUAUAAAAUUGCGAAGUUCCAGGCCUUCCUUCGAGAUCAUGCCAUCGAUCCCUCCUCUACAUCGGUCCCACUAGUCCUGGACUUUCUUCUCACUCUUGCGGAACAACAACUGUCUUUAGCCUUGAUGAAGUCCUACCUGGCUGCCCUCUCCUGGCAUUUUCAAUGUCUUGGACAGCCUUCUCUCUUUUCUAGUCACUUUGUCAAGACUUUUCUUCGGGGCUACAACAACCUUUGGCCUCCAGUUCAUCCCCCGGCCCCCGCUUGGAGCCUCGAGCUCGUCCUGUCUCAAUUAACUUCCGUACCGUUUGAGUCAAUGCCUUCCGCCGAUCUUCACCUUCUCUCUUGGAAGGUCACCUUUCUAGUGGCGGUCACCUCUGCCUGAAGACCAUCUGAACUAGCUGCCCUCAGAGUUGAUGAACCCUACCUGCGUUUUCGCCACGACCGGGCUGUUCUUUACCCGGACAUCACCUUCCUCCCCAAGGUGGUGUCUGCUUUCCACCUUAAUCAAGACAUCGUCCUCCCUGCCUUCUUUCCCAACCCGGCCUCCACGCUUGAACAGAGGCUUCACUUUCUCGAUGUAAGAAGGGCCCUCCUUUUCUACAGGGACAAGACUAAGCAUACACGUAAGACUCCUAGACUCUUUGUCGCAUAUGCUGCAGACAAACUUGGGAACCCGAUUUCUCCCCAGAGACUAUCCCAUUGGAUUGCUCACACCAUUGAACUGGCUUAUGAACUGGCUAAGCGCCCUCCGCCUCCGUCGAUCCGCCCACGGUCGACAAGAGGGCUUUCAGCCUCCACUGCCUUCUUGAGGGGCAUUCCCAUCAACUCCAUUUGUCGGGCAGCAAUUUGGUCCACCCCUUCUACCUUUGUGUCCCACUACCAGAUGGACUCUAAGAGCCUCAGAGACUCGGCCUUCACCAGAUCAGUUCUGUCCUCCUGCUUUUCAUAGCAUUUCUUCCCUAUUCAAAGUGAGGUCUACUGCCUUCUUAUGUGUUUCGAGGGUUCACACCACUUUAUUGAAGUGUUUUUCUGCCUCCCUACUGUGCUUAUGUGACACUUACUUGCCCCACAUUUUUUCUUCCUGUAUGGGGCUGUUUGACCUUGUAAUUUGUUCUUUGCCGUUAAAUGCUGAAUUACCUUACCCUCACUGCUGGUACCUCUGGUACGGUUUUUUCCCCGUGCCUUUCUUUCUCAGGGAUAUUGUUGUAACCUAUGUUUCUCUCCCUAAGGGAGGUAUCUAUAACAUGUUAUUUUUGAACUUCUUCCCUGAUACCGAGUAUCAUGGUAUGACGGUAUAUUUUGACCUCUUGAAAAGUCUUUUGUUGUCACUGGGUCGUUUUUUCUCGACCAUUUCCUCUUGCACUUGUUUUUGCACUUUGUGCCUUAAUAAAGCUAUUGUUUUUGGACAUUCAACUCGUUGUCGGGUUUGCUCUGUCCCACCAUUCUAUACCUCAGCUUGCUAGUCUCCAUUAGUGUGCAUUCACAGAGUACACGAAGAAAAAGGACAGGUUGCUUACCUGUAACCAUGUUUCUUCGAGUGUACUCUGUGAAUUCACACAAUCCCACCCUUCCUUCCCCACGUGCAAACCUCUCCCUUUCUCGUCGCCUUUGCAGCACAGGAACUGGGGAGUGAGCGCUCAGGGCAGCCUUUUAUGCCCUCCGGGGAGAGGGGCGGGGUUACCGCCAAAUUUCAAACUUUAGCUUGGAAGAGUGUCCGUUGGAGCCCACACAGGCGCAGUCUCUCCAUUAGUGUGAUUUCACAGAGUACACUCGAAGAAACAUGGUUACAGGUAAGCAACCUGUCCUUAUUAUUUAGCCCCAAAGGGUCACAAGUUAAAUAAUCUUGAUUUCUCUGACUGGUUUCUCAUUCGACCUUGUGGUAUAGUACUUAACUUACAUGUAAAUUGGCUUUAGGAGAAUUUGUCACAGAGAUACAUUAAAAAAUUGAAGGUAGAUAAAUUUUCCAGUAUGUUCCAUUAAAUAAAAUUAUGAGUUUCAUUUGCUUAUUUCGUUAUAGAGGGGGUAUAUGCAUUCCUUAUAUAUACUAGAUAUGUUCCAUUACUGGAAUUUUCAGACUACUUUGUGAGCUGCCAUCAGCCCCAGUACUCAUAGAAAGACAAGUUGUGAAUUAAAUUUUAAAAAGUUUCAUUCAGAAGCAAAGUCUUGCUUGCAAGAAUGAAUUGGCUUUGUAUUCAAUUUGCUUUCAAAAAACAUCCUAUUUAUUAUGCGUUAUUGCAGGUUUUUUCUUUAUAAUUUUUAUUAGAUAUGUUGCGGUUUGUUGAUUUUGUUUAUUUUCUAUAGUUAUGUAAUAUUUUUUGUCUGCGUGUUGUUUGACACUUUGAGUUUUGUUUCGGGAGAAAAGUAGGGUAGAAAUAAAUAAAUAAAUAAAUACUUUAUUGCCUUAAUUUAUCACACAUGCCUAAACAUGAGAUAGGUAAAAGUCUAUGAAACAUUUAGAUGAGAACAUACUACGAGAACUAUUUUUUAGAAAUCUCAUAGGCAGGGGGAAAGCAAAGUGGCAAUUACAAAAUGUAUUUUUGCAGUACAUAACACACUGAAAAACAAAUUGCUGAGGCUAGAAGUUAAACACAUCUUUGAAACCCUAAUUUUCUGCUUCUGCAAUCACCUAUUUUAUAGAAACACAAGCCAGUCGGAAGCGACUGAACGAAUAAACAACGACAACAAGCCAGUUUACCCAAUUGUCUUUAAAGUAUUCUAAAACAAGAUCUUGUAGAAACGAGGAAGAAGCAGGACAUCCUUUAGCCUGAGCAAUGAACUCCAAUUUGACAAGGUUCAGGGGGACAGGAGGUGAGAGAGAGUAUGUUCUAGCAGUAGAUUGAGUGUGGAGCUAAGACCACAGGAAAAGGCAUAAUCAAUGUCAGCAUGGCCUGGUGUAAUUCUGGCCAGUUUGGAUACACCUCCUCCACUCAUUUGCCCAUUCUCAAUUGCCUUAUGUAAGUCUUUCCUCCUCCACUUGCUCUGGACCUCUCUCCCAACAUGGCUUUUCUGGUGAACUUCAAAUACAUACCAAUGUAUAGACCAAAUGCAAGGAGAAAAACAAUGAUACAUUUGUGAAGUUUUUAGUCAUGAUAAUAACAUUACCACAACUAUCUUUUCCCAUGCAAUUUAUUUCAUAUGAGUCAGAAAUGUUCAGCACAGCCAUACCAGUCCCUGUAGUAUCCUGAUGAGCAUUACAGUAGGCCUAAUAGGUGGUAUAAAGGUGUUCUGACCUUUAUUUUGAAGUGCAUUUUCCCUGUUGGAAUAGAUCAAUAGCUGAGCUGUCGGUCACUUUUGCUUGCUUUCCGUUCUCACAGCAAGAACAUUCUCCAGGCAGCAAUCAAUAGCUGUAAUCUGUUCCAGCCUGUAAUGACAUGUGAAGCUUUUAGAGUGGCAUUACCAUUGGAUUUUUCUCUGUGUCUGCUGUUUCCAAAGAAUUACCACGUUUCAUAGGUAGCGUAAAGGACUUAGUAUACUUUGAAGAUAGGCAAGCAAUUAUUAUUUGCAUACAUUGUAUGCAUUUGUUUUUACUGUUUUAGAUGCUGUUCCCUUUCAGACUUUGGAAUCAUAUGUACUUUGUAGAUUUAAAGCUAUAUACUUUAUUCUUUAUGUUUUGGUUUUUCUUCCAGGGCUCUGUGACUCACAAAAUUGGGUUAUAGCUAUGCAAGAUUUCUUAGCAGACACCCCACCCACUUUUCCCAGUAAAUAUGUCUGGCAUCAUUCAUACCCAAACUUCAAGUCUUUUUUUUUGUUCCUUUUUUUAACCAAUAGCAAUGUGUUCUGUAACCUCCCACUCAGCUAUUAUUUGUUUGUUUUUAUAAGUAGUUAGCAGUAGUUAGUGUUUUCAUCCUCCCUGCUUUUCAUCCUCAGCUGACUGCAUUUUUCUUCAUCAUUCACCUUGGGGCUGGCUGAAUGGCUAAGAUCAAUCUCAAUCUCUGAUUUCAAAUAAGUUCCUUCCAACAGAGGCAAUUUCUCCCAAUUUCCCCAUAGCUCUCAACCUCCCAAUACCACAUCCCCGUUUUAGCCUUGCACCAUCUCCCUGAGCUUUCAGCCAUUACAGCAGCACAUCUUCCACUCCAAGUGUUCGUAGUGUUCCCAUAUCUAAACAAGUGGUUACUAGUCUCCAGCUGUGUCACAUGCAUAUCAUUGUCUUUCUUCACAAAUUUGGGGUUUCAUCAUAAAUCACAGCACUUCAAUCCUGGAAUUAAUGUACACUCUCCACUACACAGGAACCUUCCUCAACUUCACUGUCAGCCAUGCCUACCUUCUGGAACACGCAUGUAACCUCAUUAGCUCAUCUUCAAAUGCGACCUUUGAAUAUAAUUUCCCAUGUUUUUAGGCUACUUGGAGUCCUUUUUUCCUGUGUAUUAUAAUAUACUUUGAUCUGCUGAAUCCUCAUCCAAAUCUGUUUACAUCCUAGUGAAACAAUUAAGUGCUAAAUCUUAAACGAGAUAACUCAUGUGAAAUACAUAAUAGCAUAAACUUACAUUGGAGCCACACUUAAACUAGUUUUAACGGUAUGCCUCAAAGAUCUUUGGAAACCUAAGAUGACAAAUUAACAUAUUGUGUCCUGAAACCAAAUUGUUAUCACAGAGUGUUGUGUGACACAACUUGGUAUACAACUUAGCUUUCCACUGUGAUGCUGGAAAAAAAAUGGAAAUUUAAAAUCCAAAAUGGAUGCCAGAAUGACUACAACUAAAUCAGUUCUACUGUGUUUGUGUGAAUUUGUUUGUCUUUCAGAGCAUUUAUACUCUUUGGCCAGCAAGGCUCACAGAGUAGCUUUUGGAUCAAUACAGUCCCUGGCUUCAGGCUUACAAUAAAAAACAGCAUAAAAAUGUUUAAACAAAACAGUAUUUUCACAUUUACAUCUACAAAAAUAGCCUCUGAAAUUACCUUAGAACAAUUUUUUCUGACUUCCAUUUGUUCUGGAAUCUGGAAUGUUGAUGCUGAAGUAAAAUAAUAAAAUUUCACAAUCAUUUUAAAGACCUUAAACAGUUUUUAUUUCCCUGAAGCUCUGACAGAAUCUACCCUGCUCAAAAGAAAACAAAAUCUAGACAUGUAUUAUGGUGCACAAGCAGUGGCUGCAAACAAAUCAGUACUAUACUCUAAGAAAGAUAUUAUUUACACUUAUACAUAUCUUCCGUUUUUUAGACAAAAUUUUAAUUAUUUGGAUAUUGUGUACCUCUCAGCAUAGCGAUUCAUUGUACAAUAUUUUACAAACAUUGAGCAUAAUGUCUCCAUUUUAUUAUGAAUAGUAUUCAGAUGCUAUGACUAGUUUAAAUGAAUGUGGUAGAAAAGUCCACACUUAAGGAAUUACUUAUGAUAACCAAGGAUUUAAUAAUAUGUAAUUGUAAUAUUCAGAAGCUGUUCUGGAAAAGUUAGAACCGUCUUCUGAGAAAAGACCUUUCCUCACACAAUAGAUAUUGCAUUUCUUUGUUACUGAUCAGGGAAAAUGAAUGAUUCUUUAUUUAUUUAUUCAUUAAUUUACUCUGGACAAAAUACUGCAUGCAAAUCUCAACUUUACAACUCCUAUUAUCUUUUCAUCGGGCCAUCUGCAAAUCACUACCAGACAUAAGCUUUUCCCAAUUGUGCAGUCCCUCUCAUUCCAAUUGUAACUCUCUUAUCUAUUUCAAUAAGUCAGUCCACCUCUGGUGCCUUUUUCUACUAUCCUCUUUACUGUUUCUUUUAUCUUUGUUGUCUCUAUGUCUCUCUCUUAGAUUAGAAUUCAUCUAAAUACUAUUGUCUAAAUUUUGCACGUAGCUCCCAAUUUGUCACUUGACAUGAACAUUAACAUUAAUUUUGUGUGCCUGUCUUCAAGUUGCUUGUUGACUUAUGAUGACACUAUGAGUUUUAUAGGGGUUUUUUAAAGACAAACCCUUUGUGUAAUUAGAAUGGGGUAGCUUGUAUAAGAGAAAGUCUUGCUCAUCUUAUCUUAAGCACCCAUCCUUUUUUUACUCCUUUGGGAACUAAGAUUUCUCAAGUAGGCCAAGCAAGAUAAUUGCAGCAGCAGAAGGCAGAGUCCACGUCAGACAGAUUGCUAGGACCCAUGCAAAUAGGGAAGGGGGUGUGGGCUAAGGGCUGUUAUCUUCACAAUUGAUAUACUUUCCCCUCAUUCUGUACCCAUGUUGGGAGAAUGGAAUGCUUUGGAACUAGAAGAUUCAAACAUUUUCUAAUUGAUCCAUAACAAGAAUUUACUCUUUCUUUCUUGCAUCUCAACCAGGAUAUCAGUGAUACAGGAACAAGAGCAGAGGGAUUCUGUGCCCCCACCAUGUGUGUAUGUGCGUUUACGCAUGCAUGUGCACAAAUGAGAUCCACUGGCCUGGCACCCAUAAUAAAGAUAAGUUUUUUUUUGAAGUUUGUAUACUUCAGUAAAGGACUUAUUAAGGAAAGAAACAAGGAGCCAGUGGUGCAGAGGGUUAAACCGCGGAGCUGCUGAAUUUGCUGACAAAAAGGUCAGCAGUUCGAAUCUGGGGAGCGGCAUGAGCUCCCACUGUUAGCCCCAGUUUCUGCCAACCUAGCAGUUCGAAAACAUGCAAAUGUGAGUAGAUCAGUUAGUAUCUAUCCGGCGAGAAGGUAAUGGCACUACAUGCAGUCAUGCCGGCCACAUGACCUUGGAGUUGUCUACGGACAACACCAGCUCUACGGCAUGGAAAUGGAGAUGAGCACCAGCCCCCAGAGUCAGACACAACUAGACUUAAUGUCAGGAGAAAACCUUUACCUUUACCUAAGGAAAAAAAAUCAAACCCACAUAUUUUGUUAAAAAGAUAAGCCAAGAUUUAAUGUACCUAGGAUAAAAUAGGCAGAUGUUUAGAUUGCUAAAUGUUAUCAGAAAAUAUACUGUGUCUGUGCCACUGCUAAACUAGCCUUGUGUUUAAUAACUCACCUGGCAAUUCAAAAAAAAAUUGUGUCUCCAUUUUCAUCCACCAGCCUCUGGUUUCCAGACGAAAUGUAAAGGACAAAUUCAUUCCUCUGCAAACAGCACAGCAACACAGAGACUGUUGAGAGGUGAUGGAUAACUCUAUUUGCUUGUUUGUUAGUAGCCAUAGAUUAGUAUGGGGUGUCUAUUAGUGUUACCAGCAUGUUGUAAAGCUGAUUUGAACCCCAAACCACAUAGCUACUAGUGCUGCAGGCAAGGAGAUGGCUUUGAUUGCAUCCUAGAUAAAAUGCCUCCUUUGAAUUCUCGUGAUCCACCUACAAUUGGAAUAUGGACUUACUUGGUUGCCUACUGGAAACACCAUUUGGGUGAAGGAUUUGGUUCUGGAACAGCCUCUUGGGUUUGGGGGCCUGGAACCUGGGAAGGACCCUUUCUUUGAGGUUGGCAUGAGAGAAUUUGCUCUCCCUUUUUAGUUCUGGGGCUUGCGGGAAGCAGGGUCCCUAGAUCUGCCUUCCAAAAUAUGACUGACUGGAGUGGGAAACCGAUAAGACUGGAUUUCCAUCGUGGUCAGGUGUUUUCACCCAAGAGAGGACUGGGGGUGUCACAGGUAGACACCUACCCAUUUAAUCCCCAAGCAGGUUGCUCCGCCUUUCUAGCACAUUUUCUAGGAUUUAAUCUUAAUUAGUUAAUUGAUAAAAUAAAUGGCACAUCAGAGCAGUGAGUUCAAAUUACAGGAAAGGAGAUUCCAUGUAAACAUUAGGAAGAACUUCCUGACUGUAAGACCUGUUCAGCAGUGGAAUUCUCUGUCUCAGAGUCUGAUGGAAACUGUUUCCUUGAAAGCUUUUAAACAGAGGCUGGAUGGCCAUCUGUUGGGGGUACUUUGAUUGUUCUUUUCUGGCAUAGCAGGGGGUUGGACUAUAUGGCCCAUGUGAUCUCUUCUAACUGUAUGAUUCUAUGUGUUUGGCCUCAUUAUUUCAGAAUUGGUCAUGGAUAGCAUAUAGUAUCUUGUCAACAGGCUAGUAAAAUUAUCUAGUAAGAUUCAUGGGGAUAUGAAUCCCUAUGAAUCUUACUAGUCUUUGUUAUAUAAAACUACAUAAAUUUACAAUGCAGUCUUAAUUAUUUACUUCUAUGUGAGUAAAUCAUGAGUAGUUAUGUUCACAAUUUUAUUUGCUUUUGCAUAAAAACAUAUUUGCAUGACCUAGCUAAAAUAAUUAAAAUUGUCGUAAUGCUGAAAAAAACAAAACACAGACCUGCUUUAGCUUAAGAUUUAGGUAAAGCUUUUAGUGACUCAAGAAUGUGCUAUCUUACUUAUUAGGAAAUGAAAGGAAGAAAAGAUAAAAAUGCCCUAGAUAAGAAAAAUCCCAGGGUUCUUAAUCAAUAUUUUCUCAUUUUGUGUGUAUGAACUAAUGCAAGAAUCGGUAUUUAUUAUUUCAAAAAGAAAAAAAAGGGUCCAAAUGUUGGGCUGCAUGAUUUGGUAAAACAAAGUGAAUUUGAUUUUCCCCCUUUGAGACUUGCAUUGUGGUUGAGCUCACACAUUCUCAUUAACAUUCUAGCUCUGUAUUGCCAUUGCUUCUUCCUAGCUUACCAGCUGUUCCUGCUGCUAGUUACAAUGUCUGAUGUGUUCAGAUCACUGGGUUCCUGUACUCACCACAGAGAAGAGACAGUCUUUCCAUUGGGGAUAUCCACGUGUCUGCCUGUCAGCAAUGGCACCGAAUAUAGUAAUAGGUCCUCGCAUGGCAUAUGGUGUCUGGGUUCAUACAAGAUGCAAAACUAUUCUGCCACUAAUGCACAAUGACUCAUAGCAUUGCUAAUUUUUCUAACAAAAGCCCACUUCCACACCCACACUUUUAACCCCUCAGGCUAAAAAGCUUCAGACACUUAUGUUUCUUAUAUUUCGAGGGAGAUAAUGUCAUGGACCGCAUGUGAAAUACAAGUGUGUAGGAAAGAUGAUGUGAUUAAUGUAGUGGAUGGAUGUAACAAAAAGUGUGUUCAAUUUUUUUUAAUGUGAAGUGAUAUUCACAUGUGAAAGAUUGACUGUUAACUGGUAUUGUUCCAAAACCAAGUCCAACCCAUAUUUUCUCCAAAAAAAAUUUUCUCAAAAUAAUUCUGAAAUGAGCAUGAUAAGCUUUUAGUUUGGCAUGUUACUAGCUUUUAAAUAUCAGCAGUUUUAGCUGCAUAUACUUGAUGUCUGGAAAUUUCUUGAGAGGUAAAAAUCCUAUCUGUACUUUCAGAGAUAUUAUAUAAAAUUAUAUUCGUUUCUUUGAUGAAGGAGAUGCUCUCCAAUUCCAAGUGCAGAAUUAAAGGACAGGCAAAGUGUUUUGAAGAAGAGGAAGUUAAAAAGCAACUGAUACUUCGUGUGAUAAUGACAGAUCUCUUUUCAUUAUAUAAUACUACUGUGCCCGGCCACGCGUUGCUGUGGCGUUGGUGAGAAAUUGUUGAGGUAGUGGUGGUAUUGAAUGUCUGUUGUAUGGUUGUUUUUAUGUUUAGUAUGCACACUGAAGUGGAUUAUAUGGCAGUGUGGAGUCAAGAUAAUCCAGUUCAAAGCAGAUAAUAUAAGAUUCUAAACAGGUUAUAUAGCUGUGUGGAAGGGCCUUGAGUCUACAUUGCCAUAUAAUCCAGUUAAAAUCUGAUAAUCUGUGGAAGAGGUCUAAGUGAGACCUAACUGUGCCUGUCCCCUGGGCUGAGUAGGUUGCUAGGAGACCAAGUGGGUGGAGCUUAGCCUUGUAACUGGCAGCAAUUGGAUAAAAACUAUUAUUCCUCUCCCUGUAAUUAGGACUUUAUUUUUCUUUUCCUUUUUGUUGUAUCAACCUAGAGCCGUGAAUGAUGGGUUGUGUUGUCAAAUUUCGAGGUUGGGGGGCCUGUAGUUUUGUUGUUUUGUCCACUGCCCUGAUGCCAUCACUCUUUUAUAUAUAUAGAUACUGCUCUUGUAAUGCUCGUUAUGUUUUCAGACUCAGAAGGUCUGAAAAAAAGAUUUAAUUCAUGUAAGGCAGGACUAAAGUCAUUUUUGCAAAUAUCUGAGGGACCAUUCAUCUAUAUAAAGAAAAAUGUAAUGUCCUUUUGUGCGGACGUCAUGUUUCCCAAACUACUUCAUCAAUUGCUACAAAAUUUGGACACAAAGUAGCAUUCGAACUGACAAGUGUUUUACUAUCACAAACCUGUCACAUCUGAGACAGGUAAAACCAUGCCCCUUAGCAAUGGCUAAUCAGUCUCCUCUUCCCUUAGCAACCAUCGCAGCAGACAGCUCCUCCCCUUAGCAAUGCUGCUAGCAACAGCCCAGCAGACUCCUCCCUUUAGCAACUGGCAUGGGCAGGGCUGCAAGGGAUGACUAGGCCCGCCUCCUUGCCACUCAGUUCAGCUUGGCGAGUUACGUGAAGCCAAGGCUCUGUGGCCUAGCCACGGAAAAGAGGGAUACUGAGAGUGAAAAUCCUUUUUGUGGGCCCCAGCGAGGCUUCCAUACCUCACAACCUCUGAGGAUGCCUGCCAUAGAGGUGGGCGAAACGUCAAGUGAGAAUACUUCUGGAACAUGGCCACACAGCCCGAAAGACAUACAACAACCCUUUCUAGUUUAAAUAAAGCCAUUGCUUUUCUUCUGUUUUCUGUAGUAUUUGCUUCAACUUUAAAGUCAUUUUUAAAUUAUUAAUAAUAAUCUGUAGUACUGAAUAUAAUGACUGUAACAACUUUUUCCCGUGGUUACACAAUUGUUUUCAUUUGUAACUUUGAAGUCAAAAUUCAGUUUGGAAACCAGCCCUUUUCAUAAUUAGUUUGGUACUGGAGAUGAAACUGACUACAUCAGUUUCAGUAACAUGUAUAUUUAAUUACCAGAAAGAUAUUAAUGAUCGCAGUACUUUGAAUCAUGUGGUUUUAACAUUGUAUAGGAGCAAAUGAGAUAGUUUUUUUAUAUAUUGUCUCAGUUAAAUAUGCUUGCAUGUGGGGCUGAUCAGGGUAAAUUGUAGGGCUGAUAAGGAAAUGUUAUGUAUAUAUUCAGUUUUAUUGUAUUUAUUUACUGUAUUGUUAUAAGUGUCUUAUUUUAAUUUACGACAUAGAGUAUAAUCGAGUCCUAUCAAGCCUUGUUGUUUGGUUUGGUAUCGUGAUAUAACUUAAGGGCUAAUCAAUAAAAUGUAUUGCUUGGA